CGAGGCCGAAAGGCGUAGUGGAAGGGAAACAGGUUAAACUUCCUGUACUUGGAGUGACUGCGAAGGGGGGACGGAGAAGGCUAUGUGGGCCGAGAGACGGUUGUCCAGGUUUAAGCGUGUAGGCUGGUUUUCCAGGAAAAUCCGGAAAAUCAAGGCUGAGGCGUGAUGACGCGGCACUACCGCUCUGAAGACACUAAUGCCCUGCUUCCAGGAAAAGCAUCUAAGCAUCAGAUAACAUCAGAUCGUACCCCAAUCCGACACAGGUGGUCAGGUAGAGUAGACCCAGGAGUUUGAGAGAACUCGUGUGAAGGAACUAGGCAAUAUGGUGCCGUAACUUCCGGAGAAGGCACGCUGAUACGUAGGUGAAGUCCCUUGCGGAUGGAGCUGAA
This 389-nucleotide ribosomal RNA is filed under the name Escherichia coli. RNAcentral's name for it is "partial 23S ribosomal RNA". It matches the Rfam family "Bacterial large subunit ribosomal RNA", at positions 1397 to 1781 of the family's 2925-position model. The record is from RNAcentral. Lineage: Bacteria; Pseudomonadati; Pseudomonadota; Gammaproteobacteria; Enterobacterales; Enterobacteriaceae.